UUCCGGUUGAUCCUGCCGGACCUGACUGCUAUCGGAUUGAUACUAAGCCAUGCGAGUCUUUGUAGUAAUACAAGGCAUACGGCUCAGUAACGCGUAGUCAACCUACCCUAUGGACAAGAAUAAUCUCGGGAAACUGAGCAUAAUUCUUGAUAGACCAUAAUGCCUGGAAUGGUUUAUGGUUAAAAUGAUUCGUCGCCAUAGGAUGGGACUGCGGCCUAUCAGCUUGUUGGUGAGGUAAUGGCCCACCAAGGCGAUUACAGGUACGGGCUCUGAGAGGAGAAGCCCGGAGAUGGGUACUGAGACAAGGACCCAGGCCCUAUGGGGCGCAGCAGGCGAGAAAACUUUGCAAUGUGCGAAAGCACGACAAGGUUAGUCCGAGUGAUUUCUGCUAAAGAGAUCUUUUGCUAGUUAUAAAACCACUAGUGAAUAAGGGGUGGGCAAGUUCUGGUGUCAGCCGCCGCGGUAAAACCAGCACCUCAAGUGGUCAGGAUGAUUAUUGGGCCUAAAGCAUCCGUAGCCGGCUCUGUAAGUUUUCGGUUAAAUCUAUGCGCUCAACGUAUGGGCUGCCGAAAAUACUGUAGAGAUAGGGAGUGGGAGAGGUAGACGGUACUCGGUAGGAAGGGGUAAAAUCCUUUGAUCUAUCGAUGACCACCUGUGGCGAAGGCGGUCUACCAGAACACGUUCGACGGUGAGGGAUGAAAGCUGGGGGAGCAAACCGGAUUAGAUACCCGGGUAGUCCCAGCUGUAAACGAUGCAGACUCGAUGAUGCAUUGGCAUAUAGCCAGUGCAGUGUCGCAGGGAAGCCGUUAAGUCUGCCGCCUGGGAAGUACGUACGCAAGUAUGAAACUUAAAGGAAUUGGCGGGGGAGCACCACAAGGGGUGAAGCCUGCGGUUCAAUUGGAUUCAACGCCGGG
This 914-nucleotide ribosomal RNA is filed under the name uncultured marine archaeon. RNAcentral describes it as "bacterial SSU rRNA". It matches the Rfam family "Archaeal small subunit ribosomal RNA", at positions 1 to 922 of the family's 1478-position model. The record is from RNAcentral.